This 69-nucleotide transfer RNA is filed under the name Rattus norvegicus (Norway rat). It matches the Rfam family "tRNA". Rfam says of the family: Transfer RNA (tRNA) molecules are approximately 80 nucleotides in length. Their secondary structure includes four short double-helical elements and three loops (D, anti-codon, and T loops). Further hydrogen bonds mediate the characteristic L-shaped molecular structure. tRNAs have two regions of fundamental functional importance: the anti-codon, which is responsible for specific mRNA codon recognition, and the 3' end, to which the tRNAs corresponding amino acid is attached (by aminoacyl-tRNA synthetases). tRNAs cope with the degeneracy of the genetic code in two manners: having more than one tRNA (with a specific anti-codon) for a particular amino acid; and 'wobble' base-pairing, i.e. permitting non-standard base-pairing at the 3rd anti-codon position. The record is from Rfam by way of RNAcentral. Lineage: Eukaryota; Metazoa; Chordata; Mammalia; Rodentia; Muridae.
GGGGAUUUAGCUCAUUGAUAGAGCAAUUGCCUAGCAAGCACAAGGCCCUGGGUUCGGUCCCCAGCUCCA